AACGAACGCUGGCGGCAUGCCUAACACAUGCCAGUCGAACGAGACCUUCGGGUCUAGUGGCGCACGGGUGCGUAACGCGUGGGAACCUGCCCUUAGGUUCGGAAUAACUCCCCGACAGGGGUGCUAAUACCGGAUAAUGUCUUCGGACCAAAGAUUUAUCGCCUUUGGAUGAGCCCGCGUUGGAUUAGCUAGUUGGUAGGGUAAAAGCCUACCAAGGCGACGAUCCAUAGCUGGUCUGAGAGGAUGAUCAGCCACACUGGGACUGAGACACGGCCCAGACUCCUACGGGAGGCAGCAGUGGGGAAUAUUGGACAAUGGGCGAAAGCCUGAUCCAGCAAUGCCGCGUGAGUGAUGAAGGCCUUAGAGUUGUAAAGCUCUUUUACCCGGGAUGAUAAUGACAGUACCGGGAGAAUAAGCUCCGGCUAACUCCGUG
This 433-nucleotide ribosomal RNA is filed under the name uncultured bacterium. Its description in RNAcentral is "partial 16S ribosomal RNA". It matches the Rfam family "Bacterial small subunit ribosomal RNA", at positions 29 to 507 of the family's 1533-position model. The record is from RNAcentral.